AUGGGUGUUGGAGGUGGUUCGUCGGCGUCGGCGUCGAGGUGCAGGAGCACGGGGGCGACGAUGUCGGUGGCGCCGGCGAGCGGCGGUAACAGCGUCCGCUGCUGCCGCUGCAUCAACAUCUACUUGAACAACAACGUGCAGGGCGUCACCAACUCCGUGCUCUUCGGGAGCAGCGUGGUCAUGAGGGACCCCGGAGCUAGCGUCGUCCCGUCCCGCCGUCCGCCGCGCGCUGCCCGUGUUUGCUGCCGAAGGCAGAGGCGGCAACAGAGGAAAAAGAAGAUGAUGAAGACGACGAUGUGGGCUGCUGCUGCGAUUAUUUGCCUCGCGGCCCUCGCCAUCAUUGUUCUGGUGCUGAGCGUGAAGCGUACGUAA
This 372-nucleotide ribosomal RNA is filed under the name Triticum aestivum (bread wheat). RNAcentral describes it as "partial small subunit ribosomal RNA". The record is from RNAcentral. Lineage: Eukaryota; Viridiplantae; Streptophyta; Magnoliopsida; Poales; Poaceae.